RNAcentral lists this ribosomal RNA (329 nucleotides) under uncultured Rhogostoma. RNAcentral's name for it is "SSU rRNA". The stretch from base 65 to 329 matches the Rfam family "Eukaryotic small subunit ribosomal RNA", at positions 689 to 955 of the family's 1831-position model. The record is from RNAcentral. Lineage: Eukaryota; Cercozoa; Thecofilosea; Cryomonadida.
GAUUUCUGGUCUAGUGCGCCUGGCCCACUGCCGUUAGGUUUGUGAGUGCCGGUGCGCGCUUGCCAUCCUUUCUAGUCAGCAGUCUCCAUCUGGCCUUUACUGGUCGGGUGGCUGUGGGCUAGAUCUAUUACUUUGAAAAAAUUAGAGUGUUUAAAGCAGGCUUGCGCUAUGAAUAUAUUAGCAUGGAAUAAUAAUCUAGGACUUCGGUUCUAUUUUGUUGGUUUCUAUAACUGAAGUAAUGAUUGAUAGGGAUAGUUGGGGGUGCUAGUAUUGGCCGGCCAGAGGUGAAAUUCUUGGAUUCGGUCAAGACUAACUUAUGCGAAAGCAUU